CCUACGUGCGGCAGCAGUGGGGAAUAUUGGACAAUGGGCGAAAGCCUGAUCCAGCCAUGCCGCGUGUGUGAAGAAGGCCUUCGGGUUGUAAAGCACUUUCAGUGGGGAAGAAAGCCUUGGGGCUAAUACCCUCGAGGAAGGACAUCACCCACAGAAGAAGCACCGGCUAACUCCGUGCCAGCAGCCGCGGUAAUACGGAGGGUGCGAGCGUUAAUCGGAAUUACUGGGCGUAAAGCGCGCGUAGGCGGUCUGAUAAGCCGGUUGUGAAAGCCCCGGGCUCAACCUGGGAACGGCAUCCGGAACUGUCAGGCUAGAGUGCAGGAGAGGAAGGUGGAAUUCCCGGUGUAGCGGUGAAAUGCGUAGAGAUCGGGAGGAAUACCAGUGGCGAAGGCGGCCUUCUGGACUGACACUGACGCUGAGGUGCGAAAGCGUGGGUAGCAAACAGGAUUAGAUACCCUAGUAGUC
RNAcentral lists this ribosomal RNA (465 nucleotides) under Vreelandella stevensii. RNAcentral describes it as "partial 16S ribosomal RNA". It matches the Rfam family "Bacterial small subunit ribosomal RNA", at positions 338 to 795 of the family's 1533-position model. The record is from RNAcentral. Lineage: Bacteria; Pseudomonadati; Pseudomonadota; Gammaproteobacteria; Oceanospirillales; Halomonadaceae.